UGGGGAAUUUUGGACAAUGGGCGAAAGCCUGAUCCAGCAAUGCCGCGUGUGUGAAGAAGGCCUUCGGGUUGUAAAGCACUUUUGCCCGGAAAGAAAUCCUCUGGGUUAAUACCUCGGGGGGAUGACGGUACCGGAAGAAUAAGCACCGGCUAACUACGUGCCAGCAGCCGCGGUAAUACGUAGGGUGCAAGCGUUAAUCGGAAUUACUGGGCGUAAAGCGUGCGCAGGCGGUUUUGUAAGACGGAUGUGAAAUCCCCGGGCUUAACCUGGGAACUGCAUUCGUGACUGCAAGGCUAGAGUAUGGCAGAGGGGGGUAGAAUUCCACGUGUAGCAGUGAAAUGCGUAGAGAUGUGGAGGAAUACCGAUGGCGAAGGCAGCCCCCUGGGCCAAUACUGACGCUCAUGCACGAAAGCGUGGGGAGCAAACAGGAUUAGAUACCCUGGUAGUCCACGCCCUAAACGAUGUCAACUAGUUGUUGGGGAUUCAUUUCCUUAGUAACGUAGCUAACGCGUGAAGUUGACCGCCUGGGGAGUACGGUCGCAAGAUUAAAACUCAAAUGAAUUGACGGGGUCAUAGCUGUUUCCU
This 585-nucleotide ribosomal RNA is filed under the name uncultured bacterium. RNAcentral's name for it is "partial 16S ribosomal RNA". It matches the Rfam family "Bacterial small subunit ribosomal RNA", at positions 355 to 1375 of the family's 1533-position model. The record is from RNAcentral.